Molecule: ribosomal RNA, 253 nt
Filed under: uncultured bacterium
Lineage: Bacteria
Description: partial 16S ribosomal RNA
Rfam family: Bacterial small subunit ribosomal RNA
Source: RNAcentral
UACGAAGGGGGCUGGCGUUGUUCGGAAUUACUGGGCGUAAAGCGCGCGCAGGCGGUCUUCCAAGUCAGUGGUGAAAGCCCGGAGCUCAACUCCGGAACUGCCAUUGAAACUGUUAGACUUGAGGACGAGAGAGGUGAGUGGAAUUCCCAGUGUAGAGGUGAAAUUCGUAGAUAUUGGGAAGAACACCGGUGGCGAAGGCGGCUCACUGGCUCGUAUCUGACGCUCAGGCGCGACAGCGUGGGGAUCAAACAGG